Molecule: non-coding RNA, 75 nt
Organism: Myotis lucifugus (little brown bat)
Lineage: Eukaryota; Metazoa; Chordata; Mammalia; Chiroptera; Vespertilionidae
Source: Rfam
AGCGGUUCUGGGGUGAGGCACGCCAGAAUUGGGAUCCCUCCUCUCUGGUUCCAGGUGCGUCACCCUAGAACCAUA